AAGUAGCAGAACUGGAGGUGAGAGUGGAGUGUAUCCCUAUAGAAGAGAGCAAGAGAAAGGUUUGAGAGAUAGAAGUUACUCUUGGAAGCCAUAAGCAAUCCUGAAAAGAUGGGUUUUGAGGGACUUCUUAAAGGAAUGAAGACUAAGGGAGAGUGGGGGCGGGGCCUGACCGUCAUGCUGACUGGUCGCAGGCCAGAGAGGCUCCUGACAAAUUUGGUCCCCUAUGGCACAAAAUUUUAACAUCAAAGCAAUCUGAGUGACCAGAAGCCCUCUUAAGCACCCAAGCAGAAGCCGGAGCCACCACAGUCCCUGAGAUCAGGAGUUCCAGAGCCCCCAGCGGGCGAUAUGGG
Molecule: non-coding RNA, 350 nt
Organism: Pelobates cultripes (western spadefoot toad)
Lineage: Eukaryota; Metazoa; Chordata; Amphibia; Anura; Pelobatidae
Source: the annotation of a GenBank genome assembly